RNAcentral lists this long non-coding RNA (5342 nucleotides) under Sorghum bicolor (sorghum). Its description in RNAcentral is "long non-coding RNA (SBIC_LNC015499)". The record is from RNAcentral. Lineage: Eukaryota; Viridiplantae; Streptophyta; Magnoliopsida; Poales; Poaceae.
AGAAAAUAUGACAAAGGAACGGCCAAAAAUAAAAAGAAAGACCUUUCUUUUGAAAAAACAAACAAAAAAAAGGAAUGCAACACGAGGACUUCCCAGGAGGUCACCCAUCCUAGUACUACUUUCGCCCAAGCACGCUUAACUUCGGAGUUCCGAUGGGAUCCGGUGCUUUAGUCCUGGUAUGAUCGCAUCCGACAUACCGUGCGUUCUCCUCCCCUUGAGGCCCGCGCCUCCGUGUACGGCCCGCCCAUAGCUCCUUCGACGGCGCCGCCUAGGAACGCGGAGAAAAUAUGACAAAGGAACGGCCCACAACUAGAAAGAAAGACCUUUCUUUUGAAAAGACAGACAAACAAAAGGAAUGCAACACGAGGACUUCCCAGGAGGUCACCCAUCCUAGUACUACUCUCGCCCAAGCACGCUUAACUUCGGAGUUCUGAUGGGAUCCGGUGCUUUAGUGCUGGUAUGAUCGCAUCCGACAUACCGUGCGUUCUCCUCCCCUUUAUGCCCGCGCCUCCGUGUACGGCCCGCCCAUAGCUCCUUCGACGGCGCCGCCUAGGAACGCGGAGAAAAUAUGACAAAGGAACGGCCAAAAAUAAAAAGAAAGACCUUUCUUUUGAAAAAACAAACAAAUAAAAGGAAUGCAACACGAGGACUUCCCAGGAGGUCACCCAUCCUAGUACUACUCUCGCCCAAGCACGCUUAACUUCGGAGUUCUGAUGGGAUCCGGUGCUUUAGUGCUGGUAUGAUCGCAUCCGACAUACCGUGCGUUCUCCUCCCCUUUAUGCCCGCGCCUCCGUGUACGGCCCGCCCAUAGCUCCUUCGACGGCGCCGCCUAGGAACGCGGAGAAAAUAUGACAAAGGAACGGCCAAAAAUAAAAAGAAAGACCUUUCAUUUUGAAAAAACAAACAAAAAAAAGGAAUGCAACACGAGGACUUCCCAGGAGGUCACCCAUCCUAGUACUACUCUCGCCCAAGCACGCUUAACUUCGGAGUUCUGAUGGGAUCCGGUGCUUUAGUGCUGGUAUGAUCGCAUCCGACAUACCGUGCGUUCUCCUCCCCUUUAUGCCCGCGCCUCCGUGUACGGCCCGCCCAUAGCUCCUUCGACGGCAGCCGCCUAGGAACGCGGAGAAUAUAUGACAAAGGAACGGCCAAAAAUAAAAAGAAAGACCUUUCUUAUGAAAAAACAGACAUACCCAAGGAAUGCAACACGAGGACUUCCCAGGUGCCCAAGCACGCUUAACUUCGGAGUUCUGAUGGGAUCCGGUGCUUUAGUGCUGGUAUGAUCGCAUCCGACAUACCGUGCGUUCUCCUCCCCUUUAUGCCCGCGCCUCCGUGUACGGCCCGCCCAUAGCUCCUUCGACGGCGCCGCCUAGGAACGCGGAGAAAAUAUGACAAAGGAACGGCCAAAAAUAAAAAGAAAGACACUUUCUUUUGAAAAAACAAACAAAAAAAAGGAAUGCAACACGAGGACUUCCCAGGAGGUCACCCAUCCUAGUACUACUCUCGCCCAAGCACGCUUAACUUCGGAGUUCUGAUGGGAUCCGGUGCUUUAGUGCUGGUAUGAUCGCAUCCGACAUACCGUGCGUUCUCCUCCCCUUUAUGCCCGCGCCUCCGUGUACGGCCCGCCCAUAGCUCCUUCGACGGCGCCGCCUAGGAACGCGGAGAAAAUAUGACAAAGGAACGGCCAAAAACAAAAAGAAAGACCUUUCUUUUGAAAAAACAAACGCCUCCGUGUACGGCCCGCCCAUAGCUCCUUCGACGGCGCCGCCUAGGAACGCGGAGAAAAUAUGACAAAGGAACGGCCAAAAAUAAAAAGAAAGACCUUUCUUUUGAAAAAACAAACAAAAAAAAGGAAUGCAACACGAGGACUUCCCAGGAGGUCACCCAUCCUAGUACUACUCUCGCCCAAGCACGCUUAACUUCGGAGUUCUGAUGGGAUCCGGUGCUUUAGUGCUGGUAUGAUCGCAUCCGACAUACCGUGCGUUCUCCUCCCCUUUAUGCCCGCGCCUCCGUGUACGGCCCGCCCAUAGCUCCUUCGACGGCGCCGCCUAGGAACGCGGAGAAAAUAUGACAAAGGAACGGCCAAAAAUAAAAAGAAAGACCUUUCUUUUGAAAAAACAAACGCCUCCGUGUACGGCCCGCCCAUAGCUCCUUCGACGGCGCCGCCUAGGAACGCGGAGAAAAUAUGACAAAGGAACGGCCAAAAAUAAAAAGAAAGACCUUUCUUUUGAAAAAACAAACAAAAAAAAGGAAUGCAACACGAGGACUUCCCAGGAGGUCACCCAUCCUAGUACUACUCUCGCCCAAGCACGCUUAACUUCGGAGUUCUGAUGGGAUCCGGUGCUUUAGUGCUGGUAUGAUCGCAUCCGACAUACCGUGCGUUCUCCUCCCCUUUAUGCCCGCGCCUCCGUGUACGGCCCGCCCAUAGCUCCUUCGACGGCGCCGCCUAGGAACGCGGAGAAAAUAUGACAAAGGAACGGCCAAAAAUAAAAAGAAAGACCUUUCUUUUGAAAAAACAAACGCCUCCGUGUACGGCCCGCCCAUAGCUCCUUCGACGGCGCCGCCUAGGAACGCGGAGAAAAUAUGACAAAGGAACGGCCAAAAAUAAAAAGAAAGACCUUUCUUUUGAAAAAACAAACAAAAAAAAGGAAUGCAACACGAGGACUUCCCAGGAGGUCACCCAUCCUAGUACUACUCUCGCCCAAGCACGCUUAACUUCGGAGUUCUGAUGGGAUCCGGUGCUUUAGUGCUGGUAUGAUCGCAUCCGACAUACCGUGCGUUCUCCUCCCCUUUAUGCCCGCGCCUCCGUGUACGGCCCGCCCAUAGCUCCUUCGACGGCGCCGCCUAGGAACGCGGAGAAAAUAUGACAAAGGAACGGCCAAAAAUAAAAAGAAAGACCUUUCUUUUGAAAAAACAAACAAAUAAAAGGAAUGCAACACGAGGAGUUCCCAGGAGGUCACCCAUCCUAGUACUACUCUCGCCCAAGCACGCUUAACUUCGGAGUUCUGAUGGGAUCCGGUGCUUUAGUGCUGGUAUGAUCGCAUCCGACAUACCGUGCGUUCUCCUCCCCUUUAUGCCCGCGCCUCCGUGUACGGCCCGCCCAUAGCUCCUUCGACGGCGCCGCCUAGGAACGCGGAGAAAAUAUGACAAAGGAACGGCCAAAAAUAAAAAGAAAGACCUUUCUUUUGAAAAAACAAACAAAAAAAAGAAAUGCAACACGAGGACUUCCCAGGAGGUCACCCAUCCUAGUACUACUCUCGCCCAAGCACGCUUAACUUCGGAGUUCUGAUGGGAUCCGGUGCUUUAGUGCUGGUAUGAUCGCAUCCGACAUACCGUGCGUUCUCCUCCCCUUUAUGCCCGCGCCUCCGUGUACGGCCCGCCCAUAGCUCCUUCGACGGCGCCGCCUAGGAACGCGGAGAAAAUAUGACAAAGGAACGGCCAAAAAUAAAAAGAAAGACCUUUCUUUGAAAAAACAAACAAUUCACAGGAAUGCAACACGAGGACUUCCCACGAGGUCACCCAUCCUAGUACUACUCUCGCCCAAGCACGCUUAACUUCGGAGUUCUGAUGGGAUCCGGUGCUUUAGUGCUGGUAUGAUCGCAUCCGACAUACCGUGCGUUCUCCUCCCCUUUAUGCCCGCGCCUCCGUGUACGGCCCGCCCAUAGCUCCUUCGACGGCGCCGCCUAGGAACGCGGAGAAAAUAUGACAAAGGAACGGCCAAAAAUAAAAAGAAAGACCUUUCUUUUGAAAAAACAAACCAAAAAAAAGGAAUGCAACACGAGGACUUCCCAAGAGGUCACCCAUCCUAGUACUACUCUCGCCCAAGCACGCUUAACUUCGGAGUUCUGAUGGGAUCCGGUGCUUUAGUGCUGGUAUGAUCGCAUCCGACAUACCGUGCGUUCUCCUCCCCAUUAUGCCCGCGCCUCCGUGUACGGCCCGCCCAUAGCUCCUUUGACGGCGCCGCUUAGGAACGCGGAGAAAAUAUGACAAAGGAACGGCCAAAAAUAAAAAGAAAGACCUUUCUUUUGAAAAAACAAACAAAUAAAAGGAAUGCAACACGAGGACUUCCCAGGAGGUCACCCAUCCUAGUACUACUCUCGCCCAAGCACGCUUAACUUCGGAGUUCUGAUGGGAUCCGGUGCUUUAGUGCUGGUAUGAUCGCAUCCGACAUACCGUGCGUUCUCCUCCCCUUUAUGCCCGCGCCUCCGUGUACGGCCCGCCCAUAGCUCCUUCGACGGCGCCGCCUAGGAACGCGGAGAAAAUAUGACAAAGGAACGGCCAAAAACAAAAAGAAAGACCUUUCUUUUGAAAAAACAAACAAAAAAAAGGAAUGCAACACGAGGACUUCCCAGGAGGUCACCCAUCCUAGUACUACUCUCGCCCAAGCACGCUUAACUUCGGAGUUCUGAUGGGAUCCGGUGCUUUAGUGCUGGUAUGAUCGCAUCCGACAUACCGUGCGUUCUCCUCCCCUUUAUGCCCGCGCCUCCGUGUACGGCCCGCCCAUAGCUCCUUCGACGGCGCCGCCUAGGAACGCGGAGAAAAUAUGACAAAGGAACGGCCAAAAAUAAAAAGAAAGACCUUUCUUUUGAAAAAACAAACAAAUAAAAGGAAUGCAACACGAGGACUUCCCAGGAGGUCACCCAUCCUAGUACUACUCUCGCCCAAGCACGCUUAACUUCGGAGUUCUGAUGGGAUCCGGUGCUUUAGUGCUGGUAUGAUCGCAUCCGACAUACCGUGCGUUCUCCUCCCCUUUAUGCCCGCGCCUCCGUGUACGGCCCGCCCAUAGCUCCUUCGACGGCGCCGCCUAGGAACGCGGAGAAAAUAUGACAAAGGAACGGCCAAAAAUAAAAAGAAAGACCUUUCUUUUGAAAAAACAAACAAAUAAAAGGAAUGCAACACGAGGACUUCCCAGGAGAUCACCCAUCCUAGUACUACUCUCGCCCAAGCACGCUUAACUUCGGAGUUCUGAUGGGAUCCGGUGCUUUAGUGCUGGUAUGAUCGCAUCCGACAUACCGUGCGUUCUCCUCCCCUUUAUGCCCGCGCCUCCGUGUACGGCCCGCCCAUAGCUCCUUCGACGGCGCCGCCUAGGAACGCGGAGAAAAUAUGACAAAGGAACGGCCAAAAAUAAAAAGAAAGACCUUUCUUUUGAAAAAACAAACAAAAAAAAGGAAUGCAACACGAGGACUUCCCACGAGGUCACCCAUCCUAGUACUACUCUAGUACCAAGCACGCUUAACUUCGGAGUUCUGAUGGGAUCCGGUGCUUUAGUGCUGGUAUGAUCGCAUCCGACAUACCGUGCGUUCUCCUCCCCUUUAUGCCCGCGCCUCCGUGUACGGCCCGCCCAU